GGUUGCUUGAGAGUGCAGCACUAAGUGGGUGGUAAACUCCAUCUAAAACUAAAUAUAACCAUGAGACCGAUAGUAAACAAGUACCGUGAGGGAAAGUUGAAAAGAACUCUGAAUAGAGAGUUAAAUAGUACGUGAAACUGCUUAGAGGUUAAGCCCGAUGAACCUGAAUAUCCAUUAUAGAAAAUUCAUCAUUAUGAUUUUAAUAUUUGUAAUAUUAUAAUAAUGGUGUGCAUUUUUUCUAUAUAAGGACAUUGUAAUCUAUUAACAUCAAUAUUUAUCAAAAGAUCAUUUGCGAAGGUUUAAUCAAAUUAUUUUGCUUGCAAUUUAACAUAGGUUAAAUGCUUAUGAUUUGAUAAAGUGUUGAUAGAUUUAUUAUAUAUAGUGCUUGAAUAUUUAUAUUCUAUAAUAGCAUAUUAAUUAUUAAUUUUUAUGUUUAUUAUAUGCGCUUAUAUGAUUAACAAUGCGAAAGAUUCAGGAUACCUUCGGGACCCGUCUUNNAAACA
This 503-nucleotide ribosomal RNA is filed under the name Chetogena sp. scutellarisDHJ01. RNAcentral's name for it is "eukaryotic LSU rRNA". It matches the Rfam family "Eukaryotic large subunit ribosomal RNA", at positions 268 to 661 of the family's 3401-position model. The record is from RNAcentral. Lineage: Eukaryota; Metazoa; Arthropoda; Insecta; Diptera; Tachinidae.